GUACGGGAGGCAGCAGUGGGGAAUUUUGCGCAAUGGGCGAAAGCCUGACGCAGCAACGCCGCGUGAGGGACGAAGGCCUUCGGGUUGUAAACCUCUUUUAAUCGGGAAGAACCUCCCUUGAGCAAAUAGUGAGAGGGACUGACGGUACCGAUAGAAUAAGCCACGGCUAACUCUGUGCCAGCAGCCGCGGUAAGACAGAGGUGGCAAGCGUUGUUCGGAUUUAUUGGGCGUAAAGAGCGCGUAGGCGGUCUUUUAAGUCGGUGGUGAAAUCCCGGGGCUUAACCCCGGCACUGCCUCCGAUACUGGAAGACUUGAGUGCGGGAGAGGAUAGUGGAAUUCCCAGUGUAGAGGUGAAAUUCGUAGAUAUUGGGAAGAACACCAGUGGCGAAGGCAGCUGUCUGGACCGCAACUGACGCUGAGGCGCGAAAGCGUGGGGAGCAAACAGGAUUAGAUACCCCGGUAGG
RNAcentral lists this ribosomal RNA (464 nucleotides) under uncultured bacterium. Its description in RNAcentral is "bacterial SSU rRNA". It matches the Rfam family "Bacterial small subunit ribosomal RNA", at positions 339 to 794 of the family's 1533-position model. The record is from RNAcentral.